UCCGCUGCCAAGGCUGGUUACUUAAUUCAUUCUUGGGGUAGAGCUUGCUUUGCUUACACUGGUAUGUGCCAAUCAUCCCAGGCAACUCUCCAGAAUUUAAUGCAGUUACAAAACGAGGCUCGCUGCAGUCAAGAUACACUGAUGGUGGAGGAAGUAUGUGUUGCAGCAACUCAUAUUCCUGCCGGGCAUGAACAUUGGAAUAACACACAUCAGAGUUGCUGGUGAAUGCAGCAGGCCAGGCAGCAUCUCUAGGAACAGGUACAGUCGACUUCUCGGGCCGAGACCCUUCGUCAGGACAUUGAACAUUGAGAUGUACGUUUUCAGACGUGACUGUCUUUGAUGUCAAGACAACUUUUGAUGGAGAGUUACAAUGAUGAUGCAACAAACAUGCAACUGGAAUAGUAAUCCAGACAUCAACUCAAGUACAAAUCCCACUGUGAAAUCUGAUAAUACCAUUGAAAAUAGCUAUGGGCAGUCCCCGAGUUAUGAACAUCCAACUUACAAACAACUUGUACUUACGAAUGGCCUGCCAUAAAGCCGAUUAUAUGAAAAAUUCGUCAGCUCGAGGAAGGAGAACGCCGUCCAUCAUUUUAAGUUGGAUCACAUUGCCAUUAACACAGUGUUGAGUGUGUAACUUUGUAUUUGGCUUAAAUUUUUCUUAGCAAGAUUCACCCUGACCCCCCUUUUCCAGUCAGCAUUGCCCCCACUUAUCCCUUAUUUAACCUGUCUCAGUCCGGGUGGACUUUAGGACCCGGGGGAAGCUCAGGACCUGCUGCCCGCAGCUGCUGCUGAAUCCGCAGUGUUUCUGUUCCGUUGACGGAAAACGAUCAGGAUUGAAAAUAAAGUGGAAAUAAUAAAAUGAUCAGAAAGAGGUGAAACACCAUCGGUCAUUGGAAAAGCAUUAGUCUACAGUCGGUCAAUGAUUGGAACAAUUUUAAAGGAUAAAGUGAGAAUAAUGGAGCAUGUGAAAGGCCCUGCCGCGAUGAAAGCUACAAUUAUUACUAAGCAAUGCAGUGGUUUAAUUAUUGAAAUACAUACGUUUAAGUAUUUUCUCUGCAUAGAAUGGUAAAAUAUAUACUAUAUACUAAGACAAACGUUUGACUAACUGACGCUAAAUAAGACCAGAUGUACCUGUUCCGACUUACGUACAAAUCCGACUUAAAGACGGGCUCAGGAACGGAUCUCGUUUGUAACCCGGGGACUGCC
Molecule: long non-coding RNA, 1206 nt
Organism: Mobula hypostoma (lesser devil ray)
Lineage: Eukaryota; Metazoa; Chordata; Chondrichthyes; Myliobatiformes; Myliobatidae
Exons: 3
Source: RefSeq, a predicted model, not a curated record